Lemur catta (Ring-tailed lemur) is the source of this 1135-nucleotide long non-coding RNA. RefSeq lists it as uncharacterized. The transcript has 4 exons. NCBI's taxonomy places the organism in Eukaryota, Metazoa, Chordata, Mammalia, Primates, Lemuridae. The record is from RefSeq and is a predicted model, not a curated record.
GGAGGGAGCGCGAGGCAAGCUGCGAGGGGGGAGAGAGGGGGAUCCGGAGAGGGGAGGCGCUGUGCGAGUUGGCCGCGGCCGAGGCUGAGGGGGCCGGGCGCGCGCGCGGGGAGGGGUUCGCCCCGGCGGAAUGUGGGGAGCCCGCGGGCCUGGCGCGGGAGAGGGCUGAGUGGGAGGGGCUGUGGGUUGCGAGGACAGGUAUGGGGGAGGCUGGAGAAGUUUGGGGGCGACGGUUUGUGGCAGAGGUGAGAUAGGAGGAGUUUGGGGGAUACUGGGGUAGAGACUGAGAUAAUGGGGUUAGAUUGAAAAGAUGGAGCUGCAUGGGGGCUUUGGGGGCAAUGAGGUGUGUAGUGAGGAGAGGGGAGAGAAGCUUGGGGUCAGGGGUCUCUGUCAGGCAUGAAGUGGGCGGGGUUUGGGGGACUGUUAGAAUGGGAUGGAAGUUUGGGGUUUCAUAAGGAAGGGUAAAAAUUGAAAAGAUGAAGACAUAAAAGAGUGGGGUUUCUGGAAGGGAUUAAAGAGUUUGGGGGUGAUUGGUGUUGGGAAAAAGUCAAAAAUAUAAGAAUUGGGGGUGAUGAAGGAGAGCUGAAGAGAGUCCAUAGGAGGUGUCAAUGAGAGAAGGGAGAGCAUAUGGAACCUUAACAAGGGAUGAAGGAGGUACACCCAGGGACUCCAGAACUCCAGGUUAACAACGCCUAAUUCACCUGGGUCCAGGGGCCAGGCUUGCUGCUGAGAAGGUAGAGGUGACGUGGACCCCACCUAGCCAGGAUAAGGUGAGGUCUCACUAUGCUGGCAGGCAGGGGUGCACUGGCUAUUCAGGCGCGAUCAUAGUACCCUGCAGCUUCCAACUCCUGGCCUCAAGCAUUCCUCCAGCCUCAGUCUCUCCGCAGCUGGGACUGGGCCCUCACCACUGGGCGCAGAGACUGGGCCCUGGGCCUCUCUUUGGCACCCAGGUUGGAGUGCAGUGGCACGGAUCAGAGGUCACGGCUGCCAGAACUCCUGGGCUCCAGGGAUCUUCCCGCCUCAGCUUCCCAGUGGCUGGGACUGCAGGCGCGCUACCGUGCCCGGCUGGGGUUUGAAUCUUGUGGCUGCCAUUUACCAGCUGUGUGGUCUUCGAUAAAGUGUUUAAAUUCUCUAA